RNAcentral lists this ribosomal RNA (502 nucleotides) under uncultured bacterium. RNAcentral's name for it is "partial 16S ribosomal RNA". It matches the Rfam family "Bacterial small subunit ribosomal RNA", at positions 28 to 507 of the family's 1533-position model. The record is from RNAcentral.
GACGAACGCUGGCGGCGUGCUUAACACAUGCAAGUCGAACGGUGAAGGGGCCUGCUUUUGUGGGCCCUGGAUGAGUGGCGAACGGGUGAGUAACACGUGAGUAACCUGCCCCCUUCUUCUGGAUAACCGCAUGAAAGUGUGGCUAAUACGGGAUAUUCUGGGUCUGUCGCAUGAUGGGUCUGGGAAAGAUUGCGCCUUUGGGUGUUUUUGGUGGGGGAUGGACUCGCGGCCUAUCAGCUUGUUGGUGGGGUGAUGGCCUACCAAGGCGGUGACGGGUAGCCGGCCUGAGAGGGUGGACGGUCACACUGGGACUGAGACACGGCCCAGACUCCUACGGGAGGCAGCAGUGGGGAAUAUUGCACAAUGGGCGCAAGCCUGAUGCAGCGACGCCGCGUGAGGGAUGGAGGCCUUCGGGUUGUAAACCUCUUUCGCCAGUGAAGCAGGCCUGCUCCUUGUGGGUGGGUUGACGGUAGCUGGAUAAGAAGCGCCGGCUAACUACGUG